UUUGACGUGAUUGAUUUAUUGAAAUCUGGCUCAAAUUUGUCGCGCAUAUGGCUAUUAGCUAACAAGAUUUGCUUGGAUAUUUCUGUUGGAAUUCAAAAAGGCUUUUGAACCACUGUGGCAGUCGUCUCACUGGUGAGACGAGAGGGGUAAGCUGAUCAACGAAGAAUCCAGCUUUGGGCAUAGUAAUAUCAGACGAUUUAAAACCAUCAAAGCACAUAGAAAAUGUUGCCAAGAAAGCUAACAGUGUCCUUGGUCAAAUUAAAAGGUCUUUCUCUGUGAGAUCAAGGCAGCUUGUCAUCGAUCUUUACAAAAAAAUUGUGAGGCCACACUUGGAAUUUGCCGUGCAAGUAUGGAAUCCAUGGCUGGCCAAAAAUAUCGAAGCCCUAGAGAAGAUCCAGAGGCGAGCAAUCAAAACCAUCGGAGGCUUGUCGGGCUCUUAUGAGGCUCGACUGGGAGAGCUCGGACUGACAACUCUACAAGUGCGAAGAAAACGAGGAGACGCGAUUCAAGUUUUCAAGAUCAUGAAGAAUAUGGACCAUUUGAAGCCUGGCGACUACUACAAAUUUGUAGAGCACAACCCAACAACAAGAGAGCAAACCAUGAAAAACUUGUUCGUCCCCAAAGUGAGGUUGGAUCGACGGAAAUAUUUCUUUAGGUAUAGAUCCAUACCAUUAUGGAGCUUACCAUCCGAAGCUAGGGAAUGCGGAAGUUUGAACCAAUUUAAAUGCUUUUUGGACGAAAAUAACUAGAUAUGAUCAACCAAACCUAACAAAACCCACCCAAAUAUCUUCCCAAUGACCACUCCUUUGGUCCCUGAGGGUCCUUACCGCAACUGGGAUUGAAACCCCAGCAGUUCAAGACGGAAAAUUUAUUCAUUUUAUUGAACUUUUAUUUAUAUAUGUAUCAUUUGAUCGACUAACAAAUUAGAGUUGGCGGAUCUGGCUAGCCAACAGAUCAGGAAUCAGAUCAGGAAUUUUAGUCCAAAACUUGUCCAAGUCUGGCUUAAAUCCUGUUACUGGAUCAACGCCUACAUAAGCCCUACGAAUAUUUUGGGGCAGCAAAUGAAGCCCGAGAAAGAAGAGAGUUGAACAUAAUUGUUUUAACUAGCCUGGAUUCUCGAGGGCUUGAAAGUGCUCUCAAAACGCACAUUAAGCCUCUACAGUCACUACAAUUGACCCUAAAUCCUGGGUUGGCACAAAGCUCAUGAAUUCAUUUGAAAACGUACAAUAUCAGGUACCUUUCGUACCUUCUCUGAGUACUGUACAAUCCCAACCGUUCUAACCUCUCCCAAUACGAGAGCUCUCUCAUAUCUUCAAUGUUCCUAGUAAAACAUCUUUGGACCUGCUCGAGCUUUUGCAAACCUGCUGAACUAAUUGGAGCCCAAAUGGGAGAGGCAUAUUCAAGAUGCGGCUGAACAAUCGACUUGUACAGAGUUAGUAUAAUGAAACUAUCUCUGGACUUAAACGUGCGAUAUAUCCAACCACAUGUUUGAAAAGCCUUACCAACUUUCAACUGGAUAUGCUCAUCAAACUUUCCAUGAUCUAGGAGGACUACACCAGAUCCUUCACGGACGAGACCUACUGAAUACCUUUACCUUCAUCAUCUACUACCGGGUCUUGAAUUGUGAAGGAGCUUAACGUGAGCAAGGUCAUUGUCUGCCGGGUCAGAAAGCAUUUGACCAACAUCGAGGACCUCUCUGACAAGCCUUGGUCAGGCAGGCUGGUGCAACUCCGCCCACAGUUGGUCAAAGUGGCGUUUUUGGCCAACCAGUCCAUGAAGAUGUCUGCAUUGGCCAAGAAGAAGUAUGUGGACCCCUCAACAGUGUCCAAAGUCGUGAAAAAGGCUGGCGGGUAAUCUCUGCGAUUGACCAAGAGACCUCUUUUGACUGAACGUCAUCAAGAACUCCGGCUUGAGCAGUGUCAGAAUAUUUGGAAUGACCUCAAGCACAACGGCGACCGCAACAUUUUCUUCUCCAACAAAAAGACAUUCACCAUCAAUCAGGUCUACAACAAGCAGAACGACUGGGUCAUCUGCUUUGGGAACAGGAAUAACACUGUCCGUAGUAUCUCCAAGACCAGGCAUCCGGCCUCGGUGAUGAUGCUUGGUAUCAUGGCGUCCACGGGGGACAAAAUGCCGCCAGUAAGGUUCCAGAUGGGGUACAGGCUCAACAGCGUCAACUACUUGACGUUCUUGAAGACCAACGAAGCCCCAUAGGUCUCCAAGCUCUUGUAGAAGUCGGGAAAGUUGUUGUAUGUCUUCCAGCAAGAUGGAGCCCCCGCCCACACAUGCAAGGACAUAUGUAGGAAUGGAUGGAGGCAAACAUGUCAUUCUGGCCAAAGAAAAUGUGGUCCCCCCUGAGCCCAGACCUGAACCCUCUGGACUUCAUUAUCUGGUGGCAUAUUGAGUGCCAAGCCUACUGCACUCGCCACAAGUCCGUGGUAGACCUGAAGGUCUCCGUCAAGAAGGAGUGGAGGGCCAUGCAGAAGGUGUUUGUUCGGCAGGUGUUCCUGUCCUUCAGGUGCCGCGUGGAGGGCGUGAUUGAAGCCAGCAGAGGCGAAAUUCUCAAUAACUUCCCCAUGAUUCUUGACUUAAAAUUGGUCUCAAGACUUUUUCAUGACCCGAUGGUGGAGAGUCUAAUGGCGCCAACACCAAGGUCAUUGAGCGGAAUUUCAUUCAAUUCAAUGCCAUGUUACUCGCAGCAACCCAAGAGUAGAUUUGGUCUAGGACCUCUAUCAGACAAGGGGAAUUCUAACCAUUCCUACCAACUACCAAUUUUGUAUCAUCAGCAUAAGAAGAGAUACUGACAUUACUACUACCAAGCUUCUGAAGCGGAGCAAUGAAGAUGAUGAAAAGGAGAGGACCCAAAAUGGAGCCAUGAGGGACACCCAACUUGACAUCAUGUAUGUCACUAAGGGAUCCCUCAACCUUAACUAAUAGUUUCCUACAUAAAUGAAACUUCUUAGCCACUUGAGAACCUUGCCUUGGAUCCCAAUCUCAUGGAGCCUGUUAACAAAUAGGCCAUGAUCUACCUUGUCAAAGACCUUGGCAAAGUUGAGAUAAACUGCAUUGACUGAUUCAUGGCUCUCCAGUCCCUCAGUAACCUGCUCUAUAUGAUCAAUCAGUUGGGUAACCAUGCUAAAAUGUGCUCGGAACCCAUGCUGUCUAGGAGGAAGGACUUCAUGGAUAUCAAGAAAUUUAGCAAGUUUGAACUUCAUGAUCUUCUCAAUGAUAUUUGUCACAUGUUUUGUUCAUCAAUUAUGGCAAUAAUUGACAUGCUAAAAUUUCAGCAGCAACAGUUUAGGCCUUGCUUGGUGGGAAAGGUUUGGUGAUCACACAAAAGUGGCGUUUCCUUGCUUUAGUGUCCUUGGGCUAUCGUGCAAGAAGAUCAAGACCGUCGCCAGACACAUCCGCAAAUCCGUUCCUGUCCAACCUCACUUUGACGAAGUUUAAAGACUUGUUUGAGGUUUCUGAAGUUGUCAUUCCGGGCCAAGAAGAGAGCAUUAUUGCAGUUGCAACGAUGUGUGUAAAUUCCUUUCAAUCAUUCUGGAAGAACGUGGAGUUGACAAAGAAGAUGUUGUCUUUCGUCUGUCCAUUGAUGAGGGAAAGGGCUUCCUUAAAAUCACGUCAUCAUUGGUUAUGAAGCGAGAAUUAAAAGGACCCUUCAAAUCCGGAGGAGAGAAGUGUAUUCAGAUCCUAGCCUUGAGUCCUUGCCAGGAUUCGUACGACACAAUCAUAAGUGUUGGUUGAUCGAUCGACUGGAUUUGAUGUCGGUUUUUGACGCCUUUCCGCAAGUGAUUGUUUCUCAAGAUCUCUAAUGCGUUAAUCUUUGCCUUGGAAUACGCGCCCACGCUAGUGCUUUUCCAUGUGCCUUUUGCCAUUGGGAGAACGGCAAGUGAGAAGAUAAAAAAAGAAGAACGCACAAUGUGCUCCCUUAGAAUGAAUUAUUAUAAAUUUCAGCAAAUCAAGUCCCAAAAAUGUGCUUCAGUGUCAGGAGACAAGCUUUGGUGUUUCAGCGUAACCCAGGCACUGACAAAGUUCUCAACCUAGUUCCUAUUCCAAUGCUCCACAUUUUAUUAGGAAUUGUAAAUAAGACAUUUGUUGCCCAGUCAAGGCUUUCCCUGUUGGAAAUGAAUGGCCACGCACUCUGUCAAUCCACCAAGAACACUAUCACGGGCAUUCGUUUGAAGGGAAUGAGUCAAAAAAGCUCCUAGGCCAUGCAAAUGUCCUCGAAGACAUUUUGGUGAGAAAUGGGGUCUUGGAGAUGUCAAUGGCGUACGUCAAUGUGUUCAAGUAUUUCAAAACCAUCAUUGACACGCUCUACUCUCCUCCAAUUGAUCUUGAGCAACUAAAAAAAUCUAUUCAUCAAUUCAGACAAGCAUGGAAGAACACGAAUAUGAAUCUUAUUUGCAAAGCUCACAUUGUAAUCGACCAUUUGUUGGAUUGUGUUCGCGAACGAGCUGAUACUAGCAUGGCUGUGUUCAGUGAAUAAUCGCAUGAAGCAGCGCAUUGCGAGUUCGACAAAAGUUGGGCAAAAUAGGCGAUUAAAGAAAAGUCACAUCCGAACUUUGGCAAGAAAUUGCUACAAUGCACAUUGGAUUUUAGUGCCCAACACUCGAAAUGAUCCAAACACUCGCAAUACCAAACUCGACCAAUAAGACAGUACGGGUCAACGUUCAUCGUCUUUAGGUCCCCUAUGCUCUUCUUUUUUUUAUCCUUCAUUACAUUAUGCUAUUUGAAAAAUAUAAGAAUUAUCUUCAUU
Tigriopus californicus is the source of this 4759-nucleotide long non-coding RNA. RefSeq lists it as uncharacterized. The transcript is spliced from 3 exons. The record is from RefSeq and is a predicted model, not a curated record. NCBI's taxonomy places the organism in Eukaryota, Metazoa, Arthropoda, Copepoda, Harpacticoida, Harpacticidae.